Talpa occidentalis (Iberian mole) is the source of this 468-nucleotide long non-coding RNA. RefSeq lists it as uncharacterized. Lineage: Eukaryota; Metazoa; Chordata; Mammalia; Eulipotyphla; Talpidae. The record is from RefSeq and is a predicted model, not a curated record. The transcript is spliced from 3 exons.
ACGGCGGGGCAGACGCGGGGCCGCAGCUCCCCCUCCGCGGGACUGGACACAGACAACAGACACGAGGAACUGCGCACCCCCAAACCCGCCCAGCCCGGCCCUCUCCGGGGCCGCCAGCUAUGCCAUCUGGCUCAUGUAACCAGAAGACAACUUGGCACCCACAGCCACCCAGAAUGACCGGCAAUUCUCAAAACAUCUUAUUUGUCUUUGCCAAGAACUAAGUAACAACUGAUCUCCAAAUAGCAUAAUUUCAAAUAAAUUAGCAUUCUCAUCUCAACUGACUCACAUGGCAGAAUCCAACCUACAUGCUGUGAGAAGAACAAAGGUGGGAGAAUAAUUCAGAACAAAUGGAAGAGGCAGGUGGAAGAGGCUGUGGAUAGUAACAGCACCAUUGAAUGCUCCAGUUAUGAAAAAAAUACAGAUUAUAAUGUUCAGAAAUCAGAACUGUGAGAAGUCAGGCUGUUUCCC